CAGUCGCCACGGUAAUACGUAGGGUGCAAGCGUUAAUCGGAAUUACUGGGCGUAAAGCGUGCGCAGGCGGUUUGUUAAGACAGAUGUGAAAUCCCCGGGCUCAACCUGGGAACUGCAUUUGUGACUGGCAGGCUAGAGUAUGGCAGAGGGGGGUGGAAUUCCGCGUGUAGCAGUGAAAUGCGUAGAUAUGCGGAGGAACACCGAUGGCGAAGGCAGCCCCCUGGGCCAAUACUGACGCUCAUGCACGAAAGCGUGGGGAGCAAACAGGAUUAGAUACCCCCGUAGUCCCUGUCUCUUAUAC
Molecule: ribosomal RNA, 301 nt
Filed under: uncultured bacterium
Lineage: Bacteria
Description: partial 16S ribosomal RNA
Rfam family: Bacterial small subunit ribosomal RNA
Source: RNAcentral